UACGAAGGGGGCUAGCUUUGCUCGGAAUCACUGGGCGUAAAGCGCACGUAGGCGGCUUUUUAAGUCAGGGGUGAAAUCCUGGAGCUCAACUCCAGAACUGCCUUUGAUACUGGGAAGCUCGAGUCCGGAAGAGGUGAGUGGAACUCCGAGUGUAGAGGUGAAAUUCGUAGAUAUUCGGAAGAACACCAGUGGCGAAGGCGGCUCACUGGUCCGGUACUGACGCUGAGGUGCGAAAGCGUGGGGAGCAAACAGG
RNAcentral lists this ribosomal RNA (253 nucleotides) under uncultured bacterium. RNAcentral's name for it is "partial 16S ribosomal RNA". It matches the Rfam family "Bacterial small subunit ribosomal RNA", at positions 524 to 776 of the family's 1533-position model. The record is from RNAcentral.